Molecule: long non-coding RNA, 429 nt
Filed under: Ursus thibetanus thibetanus
Lineage: Eukaryota; Metazoa; Chordata; Mammalia; Carnivora; Ursidae
Description: lncRNA (ENSUTTG00000022776.1)
Source: RNAcentral
AUGAAGGGCACCGAAGGAGCAAAGUCUCCGGGAUCGAUGACGUGGAGCACCUUGCCCGGGAAGGCACAAGGGAACCAAGAAGACUUGCCCAUUCUGCUCUGGAAGAUUCCAAGCACAGAGUUAGGAGCACAGAGAACCAUCUGGACUCCUGGAGGAGGAAGGGCAGGCGACUCGAUCCUGUUCGCCCCAACCUGCCCACAAACACUAAGGAAGAAACGAAAUGAUGCAAAAUUGCCACAUGAUGGGACACCUGGGUGGCACAGUCAGUUAAGCAUCCGACCUCAGGUCACAAUCCCGGGGUGGUGAGAUCGAGCCCCGAGUCGGGUUCCAUGCUCUGCAUGGAGCCUGCUUGAGAGUCUCUCUCCCUCUCCCUCUGCCUCUCCCCCUGCUCUCUCUUUCUAAAAUAAAUAAAUAAAUUCCUCUAAAAAA